Molecule: non-coding RNA, 261 nt
Organism: Vicia faba (fava bean)
Lineage: Eukaryota; Viridiplantae; Streptophyta; Magnoliopsida; Fabales; Fabaceae
Source: the annotation of a GenBank genome assembly
AUGUGUGGACAUCUCAUUACAAAUAUAGUCGAAAGUAAAAAAAUAAGCCUAAGCAUUAUGUGUGUUGGGCUACUCAUUGGGGCAUUAGCUCAAAAACCUGGUGUUUCUUCAAAAUCAGACACAUUUAAAGUCAUAAUCAGUGCAUCAGUCAUCAAUUCAAUAACGAAAUCAUCCAACUCAAUUCAAGAAUCAUGUUGUAGUUUCAGUUCAGCCAUAACUUUGCACAAGCAUUCAAAACCGUGUCCAACCUUAAUAAUGUAG